GACACUGUGGGCUGGGCCUUUC
RNAcentral lists this non-coding RNA (22 nucleotides) under Arabidopsis thaliana (thale cress). The record is from RNAcentral. Lineage: Eukaryota; Viridiplantae; Streptophyta; Magnoliopsida; Brassicales; Brassicaceae.